CCUACGGGUGGCAGCAGUGAGGAAUAUUGGUCAAUGGACGAGAGUCUGAACCAGCCAAGUAGCGUGAAGGAUGACUGCCCUAUGGGUUGUAAACUUCUUUUAUAUGGGAAUAAAAUGUUCCACGUGUGGGAUUUUGUAUGUACCAUAUGAAUGAGGAUCGGCUAACUCCGUGCCAGCAGCCGCGGUAAUACGGUGGAUCCGAGCGUUCUCCGGAUUUAUUGGGUUUAAAGGGAGCGUAGGUGGAUUGUUAAGUCAGUUGUGAAAGUUUGCGGCUCAACCGUAAAAUUGCAGUUGAAACUGGCAGUCUUGAGUACAGUAGAGGUGGGCGGAAUUCGUGGUGUAGCGGUGAAAUGCUUAGAUAUCACGAAGAACUCCGAUUGCGAAGGCAGUUCACUGGACUGCAACUGACACUGAGGCUCGAAAGUGUGGGUAUCAAACAGGAUUAGAUACCCGGGUAGUC
Molecule: ribosomal RNA, 460 nt
Filed under: uncultured bacterium
Lineage: Bacteria
Description: partial 16S ribosomal RNA
Rfam family: Bacterial small subunit ribosomal RNA
Source: RNAcentral